GGGGACGUUCCGGAUUCGACAGGGGCUGUUUGGGCAUUUUAAGCGUGUCGGAGGCUGCGGCUCCGUAAACAACGCUACACAGUUUAUAAUAACUGGCAAACAAAACAAUUUCGCAGUAGCUGCCUAAGAGCACUCUGCAUCAUCCCAUGAGCUUUCCUGUGGCCCAUGACGAUGAUUCAACUUUAACAGGAUAUCCAGAGAGUCUGCCGUCUUAAGACUCUGUGGAGAAACCAAUAAGACUAGCAUGGACUUGAGGGUUCGUUCAUUACCAUCAUCCAUGCGAAACUGAGAAAUGAACUACACACGUAGAAAGAAAUGUAUCAAGGUCUCUGGACGCGGGUUCAACUCCCGCCGUCUCCAUUU
RNAcentral lists this transfer-messenger RNA (363 nucleotides) under Lacicoccus qingdaonensis. Its description in RNAcentral is "Salinicoccus qingdaonensis Standard tmRNA". It matches the Rfam family "transfer-messenger RNA". From Rfam's summary of the family: Bacterial tmRNA, also known as 10Sa RNA or SsrA, is named for its dual tRNA and mRNA-like properties. Its role is to liberate the mRNA from a stalled ribosome. Lineage: Bacteria; Bacillati; Bacillota; Bacilli; Caryophanales; Salinicoccaceae. The record is from RNAcentral.